GUAUUAAGUCACAUGACGUUGUAACGGUCAAGUGAUUGUUUACUAUAAACACGUGUGUGUGUUUAUAUCAAGCACAUGGUGUGUGUUUACGUUCUAUUUGAUUGGAUGGCAUAUACCCGUACUGCCGGUUUUACGGGUAUAUGCCCUCAUGAUUUUCGUGAAAAGCAUGAUUAAGUAUUACUUAAGGGGGUAGCUUGAGAAAAUUAAGUUAUUCGAAGUUUGCCUAUAGUACGACGUAGCAGCAUUCGUUAUUGUGGUAUGUCUGACUCCGAGAAACUUCUAGAUUCCGACCAUGAAUCUUUGCCAGCUGGUACUAGUGUACAUUCGUUGCGUGAUGGUAUUUCUGCACAUAAUACUGGGAAUAACGACUUGGUGGAUACUUCUCUCUGUUUAAGACCUAUCUUGAUGGGAAGAUCGCUACUCUACACAAAGAUUUGGCAGUUGGCAACGAGAAUUU
Molecule: long non-coding RNA, 457 nt
Filed under: Mytilus galloprovincialis (Mediterranean mussel)
Lineage: Eukaryota; Metazoa; Mollusca; Bivalvia; Mytilida; Mytilidae
Source: RNAcentral